Molecule: ribosomal RNA, 1369 nt
Filed under: uncultured bacterium
Lineage: Bacteria
Description: 16S ribosomal RNA
Rfam family: Bacterial small subunit ribosomal RNA
Source: RNAcentral
AAGUCUAACGCAGGCAUCUUCGGAUGCCUGAGUGGCGAACGGCUGAGGAACACGUACGAACCUGCCCGCUUGUGGGGAAUAACUCACCGAAAGGUGAGCUAAUACCGCGUACGCUUGAUCAUCCGAUCAAGGAAAGCCUUUUGGCGCAGGCGGAGGGGCGUGCGGCCCAUCAGGUCGUUGGUGGGGUAACGGCCUACCAAGCCUGUGACGGGUAGCUGGUCUGUGAGGACGAUCAGCCAGACUGGGACUGCGAAACGGCCCAGACACCUACGGGUGGCAGCAGCGAGGAAUCUUCCACAAUGGGCGCAAGCCCGAUGGAGCAACGCCGCGUGGAGGACGACGGCCUUCGGGUUGUAAACUCCUUUCGGGGGGGAUGAGAUAGACAGUACCCCCAGAAGCAGCCCCGGCUAACUCUGUGCCAGCAGCCGCGGUAAUACAGAGGGGGCAAGCGUUGUCCGGAUUUACUGGGCGUACAGCGCGCGCAGGCGGAGCUCGACGUGCCGUGUGACAGCCCACCGCUCACCGGUGGAAGGCCACGGUACACGAGAGCUCUGGAGGCAGGGAGAGGGAUGUGGAAUGCCUGGUGGAGCGGUGAAAUGCGUAGAGAUCAGGCGGAACACCAGCGGCGAAGGCGGCAUCCUGGCCCUGGCCUGACGCUGAGGCGCGAGAGCGUGGGGAGCGAACUGGAUUAGAUACCCAGGUAGUCCACGCCGUAAACGAUGUGUACCCGGCGCUGGGGAGUGAUUGCGCUCCUCGGUGCCUGCGCUUACGCAGUGAGUACACCGCCUGGGGACUACGGCCGCAAGGCUAAAACUCAAAGGAAUUGACGGGGGCCCGCACAAGCAGCGGAACGUGUGGUUUAAUUCGACGCAACACGAAGAACCUUACCUAGGCUUGACAUGAUGCUGCAAGGAGUGGAGACACUCUCGCCUUCGAGGGUGCAUCACCGGUGCUGCAUGGCUGUCGUCAGCUCGUGUCGUGAGAUGUUGGGUUAAGUCCCGCAACGAGCGCAACCCUUGCCCCAUGUUACAGGUGUCAUGGGGGACUGCCGGUGGGUUCCACCGGAGGAAGGCGGGGAUGAUGUCAAGUCCGCAUGGCCCCUACGCCUAGGGCGACACACACGCUACAAUGGUCGGCGGAAUGCGCGGCGACCGGGUAACCGGGAGCUAAUCGCGAAGGUCGGUCUCAGUGCAGAUUGAGGGCUGCAACUUGCCCUCAUGAAGGCGGAGUUGCUAGUAACCGCGUGUCAGCAGAGCGCGGUGAAUACGUACCCGGGCCUUGUACACACCGCCCGGCACGUCAUGGGAGUCGGGAACACCUGAAGUCCGUGGGCCGACCGGCUGAGAGGCUGGAGGCAGCGGCCGAGGGU